This 111-nucleotide ribosomal RNA is filed under the name Deltaproteobacteria bacterium ADurb.Bin207. The record is from RNAcentral. Lineage: Bacteria; Deltaproteobacteria.
GGUGGCGAUAUCGAAGAGGCCAUACCCGAUCCCAUCCCGAACUCGGAAGUCAAGCUCUUCGGAGCCGAUGGUACUGCAUGGGCGACUGUGUGGGAGAGUAGGACGCUGCCG